UCUUCUCCCUGUCAUGUCCUUCCCCAGUUUUGGUGGUUGUGAAGUUGGUGAGACUGCUUUUAAAGCCACAAUUGACAAAACCAAGGAACUGACUAAGGUUAAAAUUAGCUCUUAAAUAAGCAAAUAAAAACCAGUAGCUUUGCUCCGGAGUCAGCUAUCCAUGGACUCAUCACUUCUACAGUGAGUAUGGCAUAUUCUCUACAGUCCUACCACUGCUUCCAGUCUGAUAUGUAUAAACUGCUGAUGACCUUAGUUUAUAUUUUGAACUGAGGAGAAUAGGGAGAAGAUAUAUAUCUUUGCACUGCAUGCUCCUGCAGUGCUGGGAUUAACAGUCUGUGGGGAAGGCUUGAGGAAGGAAGAGAAAUCAACCACUGGAACUGAAGUUCCUUGUGAUGGUGAGUCAGCAUUCUUGAGCUUCAAGUAGCAGUGUGCCUCUGGUUCCAUUUAUUACAUGUUUAUUUUUCCUUUUCAUAACUAGUAGUAUGAAAAUGAAAUUUCAAAUUCUGGAGGGCAGUUUUGUGGUAAGGGCUUGCCUAGAAGGCCAAGGAAAGUUGCUCAGUAAAUUGAGUAGGAGUCUGUAGUUGGUUGGUUCUGCAAAUAUUUUAUUUCCUAUCACUUCAGAAUAAUUCUAACUUGGCACUGUGUAGUUUUUGCCAGACUUUUCCUUUAGAGCAAUGAGAUCAAAUUUAUCCUAAGCCACUUGGUUGUGGUUCUGUACUAGUUUCAAUACAAUCAAUAAUAAUCAAGUAAUUAUUCUUUCUCACUCUCAUGACUAAUCAGUAAUCUUUUUUUUCUCAUUAUUACCUUUACAUGAGAAACUUCAGCCACUUAUACAUUUCUCAGGCAUCAGAAGUUCCUGUUACUGUCCACAAUAGGGCUCCCACAGCAUCAAGGAUGCCCUUCACUCAAGGCUGCCCUUUGCUCAAGGAUGUCCUUCAACAAGGACAGCUGAGACAAACUGACCCAGGAAUAAUCCAUAAACUAAUACAUCUGUUCAGAAUAAAAGGCCUCAAGCUCUACCUUGCCUACAGCGCAUAUUAUAUGUGUUAUCCAAAAUUAAUAUCCGAUUAGUCCAUUAUACCACUUCAAAAUAGCAUAUGAAAAUCACUUUUCAGCCUAUAAUAUCAUGUGUCUCAUGCAGACACAUGAUAUUAUUACUUAUCACUCUGCAUAUUGAAGU
Long non-coding RNA from Serinus canaria (Common canary), 1180 nucleotides. RefSeq lists it as uncharacterized. The transcript is spliced from 3 exons. Lineage: Eukaryota; Metazoa; Chordata; Aves; Passeriformes; Fringillidae. The record is from RefSeq and is a predicted model, not a curated record.